Molecule: ribosomal RNA, 510 nt
Filed under: uncultured bacterium
Lineage: Bacteria
Description: bacterial SSU rRNA
Rfam family: Bacterial small subunit ribosomal RNA
Source: RNAcentral
AGGGAAUAUUGGACAAUGGGUGUGAGCAUGAUCCAGCCAUGCCGCGUGCAGGAAGAAGGCCUUGUGGGUUGUAAACUGCUUUUAUCUGGGAAUAAAAAACCCGUGCGCGUGGAACUGAAGGUACCAGAUGAAUAAGCCACGGCUAACUACGUGCCAGCAGCCGCGUUAAUACGUAGCUGGCGAGCUUUGUCAGGAUUCAUUGGGUAUAAAGGGUGCGUAGGCGGCCAAUUAAGUCAGUGAAGAAAGCCCCCGGCUUAACCGGGGAGGUGGCAUUGAUACUGGUUGGCUUGAGUGCUGUCGAGGCAGGAGGAAUUGACGGUGUAGCGGUGAAAUGCUUAGAUAUAGUCACGAACACCGAUAGUGAAGACAGCUUGCCAGAGAGCAACUGACGGUGAGGCAAGAAAGUGUGGGGAGCAAACAGGAUUAGAUACCUUGUUAGUCCACACUGUAAACGAUGAUGACUCGCUGUUGGCGAUAUACAGUCAGCGGCCAAGAGAAAUCGUUAAGUCA